AACGAACGCUGGCGGCAUGCCUAACACAUGCAAGUCGAACGAGACCUUCGGGUCGAGUGGCGCACGGGUGCGUAACGCGUGGGAACAUGCCCUUAGGUUGGGAAUAACUCCCCGAAAGGGGUGCUAAUACCGGAUAAUGUCUUCGGACCAAAGAGUUGUCGCCUUUGGAUGGGCCCGCGUUGGAUUAGCUAGUUGAUAGGGUAAAAGCAUACCAAGGCGACGAUCCAUAGCUGGUCAGAGAGGAUGAUCAGCCACACUGGGACUGAGACACGGCCCAGACUCCUACGAGAGGCAGCAGUGGGGAAUAUUGAACAAGGGGCGAAAGCCUGAUCCAGCCAUGCCGCGUGAGUGAUGAAGGCCUUAGGGUUGGAAAGCUCUUUUACCCGGGAUGAUAAUGACAGUACCGGGAGAAUAAGCUCCGGCUAACUCCGUG
RNAcentral lists this ribosomal RNA (433 nucleotides) under uncultured bacterium. RNAcentral describes it as "partial 16S ribosomal RNA". It matches the Rfam family "Bacterial small subunit ribosomal RNA", at positions 29 to 507 of the family's 1533-position model. The record is from RNAcentral.